This 424-nucleotide ribosomal RNA is filed under the name Fusobacteriota bacterium. RNAcentral describes it as "Fusobacteria bacterium partial 16S ribosomal RNA". It matches the Rfam family "Bacterial small subunit ribosomal RNA", at positions 355 to 776 of the family's 1533-position model. Lineage: Bacteria; Fusobacteriati; Fusobacteriota. The record is from RNAcentral.
UGAGGAAUAUUGGUCAAUGGGCGAGAGCCUGAACCAGCCAAGUAGCGUGCAGGAUGACGGCCCUAUGGGUUGUAAACUGCUUUUAUGUGGGGAUAAAGUGCGUGACGUGUCAUGCAUUGCAGGUACCACAUGAAUAAGGACCGGCUAAUUCCGUGCCAGCAGCCGCGGUAAUACGGAAGGUCCGGGCGUUAUCCGGAUUUAUUGGGUUUAAAGGGAGCGUAGGCUGUCUAUUAAGCGUGUUGUGAAAUUUACCGGCUCAACCGGUGGCUUGCAGCACGAACUGGUCGACUUGAGUAUGCAGGAAGUAGGCGGAAUUCAUGGUGUAGCGGUGAAAUGCUUAGAUAUCAUGACGAACUCCGAUUGCGCAGGCAGCUUACUGUAGCAUAACUGACGCUGAUGCUCGAAAGUGCGGGUAUCAAACAGG